AGCAUAUCAAUAAGCGGAGGAAAAGAAACCAACAGGGAUUGCCUCAGUAACUGCGAGUGAAGCGGCAAAAGCUCAAAUUUGAAAUCUGGCCCGUCUCCGGCGGCCCGAGUUGUAAUUUGGAGGGGCAUCUUCAGGGGUGGGCGCUGUCCUAAGUUCCUCGGAACAGGACAUCACAGAGGGUGAGAAUCCCGUGCCUGGGCGGCUGUCCCGCUCCAUGUGAAGUGUCUCCGACGAGUCGAGUUGUUUGGGAAUGCAGCUCAAAAUGGGUGGUAAAUUUCAUCUAAAGCUAAAUAUUGGCGAGAGACCGAUAGCGCACAAGUAGAGUGAUCGAAAGAUGAAAAGCACUUUGAAAAGAGAGUCAAACAGUACGUGAAAUUGUUGAAAGGGAAGCGCUUGAGAUCAGACUCGUCGGACGGCAACCAUCGGUGCUUCUGUGCCGUGCACUUGCCGACCGACGGGCCAGCAUCGGUUCUGACGGUGGGAAAAAGGCCCGGGCAAUGUGGCUCUCUUCGGGGAGUGUUAUAGGCCCGGGUGCCAUACCGCCUGCCGGGACCGAGGACCGCGCUUCGGCUAGGAUGCUGGCGUAAUGGUCUUAAGCGACCCGUCUUGAAACACGGACCAAGGAGUCUAACAUCUAUGCGAGUGUUCGGGUGGAAAACCCCUGCGCGUAAUGAAAGUGAACGGAGGUGGGAACCCUUCGGGGUGCACCAUCGACCGAUCCUGAUGUCUUCGGAAGGAUUUGAGUAGGAGCAUAGCUGUUGGGACCCGAAAGAUGGUGAACUAUGCCUGAAUAGGGUGAAGCCAGAGGAAACUCUGGUGGAGGCUCGCAGCGGUUCUGACGUGCAAAUCGAUCGUCAAAUUUGGGUAUAGGGGCGAAAGACUAAUCGAACCAUCUAG
RNAcentral lists this ribosomal RNA (897 nucleotides) under Smardaea reticulosperma. RNAcentral describes it as "eukaryotic LSU rRNA". It matches the Rfam family "Eukaryotic large subunit ribosomal RNA", at positions 37 to 947 of the family's 3401-position model. Lineage: Eukaryota; Fungi; Ascomycota; Pezizomycetes; Pezizales; Pyronemataceae. The record is from RNAcentral.